AGAAAUUUAGGUUAACAAAACCAAGGGCCUUCAAAGCCCUAAAAGAGAGUACCCAAACCCUCAAUUUCUG
This 70-nucleotide transfer RNA is filed under the name Varanus caudolineatus. Its description in RNAcentral is "tRNA-Trp". Lineage: Eukaryota; Metazoa; Chordata; Lepidosauria; Squamata; Varanidae. The record is from RNAcentral.